UGACACACUCAUUCGCGUGAUCUUUGAA
Molecule: non-coding RNA, 28 nt
Filed under: Mus musculus (house mouse)
Lineage: Eukaryota; Metazoa; Chordata; Mammalia; Rodentia; Muridae
Source: RNAcentral